AGUGAACGCUGGCGGUAGGCCUAACACAUGCAAGUCGAACGGCAGCGCAGUAAGAGCUUGCUCUUACGGGUGGCGAGUGGCGGACGGGUGAGGAAUACAUCGGAAUCUACUUUUUCGUGGGGGAUAACGUAGGGAAACUUACGCUAAUACCGCAUACGACCUACGGGUGAAAGCAGGGGAUCUUCGGACCUUGCGCGAUUGAAUGAGCCGAUGUCGGAUUAGCUAGUUGGCGGGGUAAAGGCCCACCAAGGCGACGAUCCGUAGCUGGUCUGAGAGGAUGAUCAGCCACACUGGAACUGAGACACGGUCCAGACUCCUACGGGAGGCAGCAGUGGGGAAUAUUGGACAAUGGGCGCAAGCCUGAUCCAGCCAUACCGCGUGGGUGAAGAAGGCCUUCGGGUUGUAAAGCCCUUUUGUUGGGAAAGAAAAGCAGCAGGUUAAUACCCCGCUGUUCUGACGGUACCCAAAGAAUAAGCACCGGCUAACUUCGUGC
RNAcentral lists this ribosomal RNA (493 nucleotides) under uncultured bacterium. RNAcentral describes it as "partial 16S ribosomal RNA". It matches the Rfam family "Bacterial small subunit ribosomal RNA", at positions 29 to 508 of the family's 1533-position model. The record is from RNAcentral.